RNAcentral lists this ribosomal RNA (510 nucleotides) under Cronobacter sakazakii. Its description in RNAcentral is "bacterial SSU rRNA". It matches the Rfam family "Bacterial small subunit ribosomal RNA", at positions 22 to 521 of the family's 1533-position model. The record is from RNAcentral. Lineage: Bacteria; Pseudomonadati; Pseudomonadota; Gammaproteobacteria; Enterobacterales; Enterobacteriaceae.
GCUCAGAUUGAACGCUGGCGGCAGGCCUAACACAUGCAAGUCGAACGGUAACAGGGAGCAGCUUGCUGCUCUGCUGACGAGUGGCGGACGGGUGAGUAAUGUCUGGGAAACUGCCUGAUGGAGGGGGAUAACUACUGGAAACGGUAGCUAAUACCGCAUAACGUCUACGGACCAAAGUGGGGGACCUUCGGGCCUCAUGCCAUCAGAUGUGCCCAGAUGGGAUUAGCUAGUAGGUGGGGUAACGGCUCACCUAGGCGACGAUCCCUAGCUGGUCUGAGAGGAUGACCAGCCACACUGGAACUGAGACACGGUCCAGACUCCUACGGGAGGCAGCAGUGGGGAAUAUUGCACAAUGGGCGCAAGCCUGAUGCAGCCAUGCCGCGUGUAUGAAGAAGGCCUUCGGGUUGUAAAGUACUUUCAGCGGGGAGGAAGGUGUUGUGGUUAAUAACCACAGCAAUUGACGUUACCCGCAGAAGAAGCACCGGCUAACUCCGUGCCAGCAGCCGCGGU